GUACACGCUGUGACUAGCAUAUCAAUAAGCGGAGGAAAAGAAACUAACAAGGAUUCCCUCAGUAACGGCGAGUGAAGCGGGAAGAGCUCAAAUUUGAAAUCUUGAAAGGUCACCUUUCACGAGUUGUAGUUUAAAGAAGUGUUUUCUGCUGAAGUUUUGGUAAAAGUUCUUUGGAAUAGGACAUCAUAGAGGGUGAGAAUCCCGUAUUUGACCAUUAUUUUCAGCUUUGUGAUACACUUUCAAAGAGUCGGAUUGUUUGGGAAUGCAGUCCAAAAUGGGUGGUAAAUUUCAUCUAAAGCUAAAUAUUGGCGAGAGACCGAUAGCGAACAAGUACCGUGAGGGAAAGAUGAAAAGAACUUUGAAAAGAGAGUUAAACAGUACGUGAAAUUGUCAAAAGGGAAGCGUUUGACACCAGUGUUGUUUUCUCGAAAAUCAAUUAAAAAUGGCUCGAUUUUGUAUUGCUGAGACCUUAAAAGCUCACUGUACAUUUUUCGUGUCUUUUUUAAUGCACUUUUCGUUUAACAAGUCAACAUCAGUUUCUUUUGUUGUAAAAGGGUCAUUGGAAGGUGGCUUUCUUUUCGGAGAAAGUGUUUAUAGCCUUUGGCCUCUGCAAUCGGAGAGACUGAGGUCUGCAGCGUAGACUCUUCGGGGUUAGAUACAUUUGUGCUAAGUUAUAGCUUUUUAUAGACAACUUGUUGACUAUAAUUAGUCUUGUAGCUUACUCGCUUAUGCUAUUUUACCUACGCUUAGGAUGUUGAGUAGCGACAUACGCAC
RNAcentral lists this ribosomal RNA (774 nucleotides) under uncultured Neocallimastigales. RNAcentral describes it as "partial large subunit ribosomal RNA". It matches the Rfam family "Eukaryotic large subunit ribosomal RNA", at positions 22 to 649 of the family's 3401-position model. Lineage: Eukaryota; Fungi; Neocallimastigomycota; Neocallimastigomycetes; Neocallimastigales. The record is from RNAcentral.